Aegilops tauschii subsp. strangulata is the source of this 1510-nucleotide non-coding RNA. The record is from RefSeq and is a predicted model, not a curated record. NCBI's taxonomy places the organism in Eukaryota, Viridiplantae, Streptophyta, Magnoliopsida, Poales, Poaceae.
AAAGUGGUCUGUAGCAUAUAACAAGGGAAGGUAUUUCCUAGGGAUGUUGAGCAAUCAGAGGAGUGAGUCUCUAAACUCGAGGCUUCAUGUGCACCUGAAUAGGAGAAUGAAACUCGUUGAUCUCGUGCAACACGUUGAACACUGUGUGUCAGUUUUGCGUAGGAAUGAAGCAGCAUUGGACGACGUAGCUUCGCACACAAUCUUCUUCACUAGAUUGACUGCCGAUCCACUUGAGAUAAGUGCCUCAUCUAUUUAUACCCCUGUUAUGUUCAGUAAGGUAAAGGACGAGAUUGUCAACUUAUCAAGAUGAAAUGUUCUUGAGGUGGAAGAGGACACUGGUUUGGUUAGCUAUGGAGUUGCUCGCAAAGAGUCGGUGCACGUUAGGUUCCAUGUCACAUGUAUUUUUGAUGGAUCUAAGAUGGAAAGUGCAUAUUGUGGAUGUAGGAAGAUGGAAAGCGAGGAUUUUCCAUGUGCUCAUAUAUUUUGCGUUUUGAAGUAGAAUGGGAUAUGCACCAUCCCCGCAUGUUGUGUGAAGGCUAGAUGGACAAUGCAAGCCAAGCCUGCUUUCGGUUCUGUGAGGAGUGCCAAUACACAUGUAUGGUCAGAACAGAUGGAUAAGUACCAUGAACUGCGCAAUAUGGCUAGUGAGGCUUUAUUCACGGCCUCAGCUAGUGAAAUGCAGUCAGAAAAGGUGAUGGAGUACCUGAGGAGCAUAUUGGACGAGGGCAACAAAAAUGAUGGGAAUACUGGCACGCCAUCAUUUGUUCCUAUGCCGGCUUAUUUUUCUGGGGCGCGGCAAUGGUUUACAGAUCAAGUCCAAGACCCUAAACCAAUAAUAAAUCCCAAAGGCAGACCAGCCAAAGAAUCGAAUAAGAGGUUGAAGCCAUUCCUGGAGAAUUUGCAAGCAAAAAAGAAAACAUUGAAGAAAGUUCAUGGUCAGUUGAGUAGGGGAGGAAGAAAAAAGUGAACAAUACUGUAGAAGAAGCAGGAGAAGAAGAAGGAGGAGAAGAAGAAGAAGAAGAAGAAGAAGAGGCGGCAGAAGAAGAGGAUCGUGCUAAGAAGAGGAAACCGGUGAAGAAAGCUUCAGCAAAGGUGACUGAAGUUAGUAUGAUGACUCGGGGGAGAAAGAGAAAAGAGAACAAUGACGAAGUGUGUGCUAAGAACAAAAGACCUUUCAAGUAAGUUUAUGCAUUUUCAGAAGUACAGUCGUCUGUAUAGCAGUGCUGCACAUUAUAUGAGAACGUUAUUCGUCGUAUUAAUAUGUGUAGCGAACGCUUUUUUCUGAGGGCGUGAUUGGAAGGGAGGUGGGGCCCCUUCGUGGGGAGAUAAAUGAUACAUAUGCGUAGUCUAACAGAAAUAGAUAACCGACCGGCGAUUUUGUUUUCUUUCCAGAAAAAAGAAAAGUAGCUAUCGUUAGCAACGGAAGGAGAUGAGGCAUGCACGCCCUACGGGAUUGCAUGCAAAAUAUUUUAGAUAGGAAAAUUUUGGAGGAUUCUAGAAAGUUACUUCC